AAUCUUCCACAAUGGACGAAAGUCUGAUGGAGCAAUGCCGCGUGAGUGAAGCAGGGUUACGUCAANUAAAAAUAUGUUUUUAAAGANGAACACCUUUGAGAGUAACUGUUCAAGGGUUUACGGUAUUUAACUAGAAAGUCACGGCUCACUACGUCGCAGCAGCCGCAGUAAUACGUAGGUGGCAAGCGUUGUCCGGAUUUAUUGGGCGUAAAUCGAGCGCAGGCGGUUUUUUAAGUCUGAUGGGAAGGCCUUCGGCUUAACAGGAGAAGUGCAACGGAAACAGGGAGACUUGAUUGGAGAAGAGGACAGUGGAACUCCAUGUGUAGCGGUGGAAUGCGUAGAUAUAUGGAAGAACACCAGUGGCAAAGGCGGCUGUCUAGUCUGUAACUGACGCUGAGGCUCGAAAGCAUGGGUAGCGAACA
Molecule: ribosomal RNA, 422 nt
Filed under: uncultured bacterium
Lineage: Bacteria
Description: partial 16S ribosomal RNA
Rfam family: Bacterial small subunit ribosomal RNA
Source: RNAcentral